AGUAAACUAAUACUACGUAUUACUACUUAUCAGAUGCUUAAGAAAUGAGCAAUCAGCUAAGAAGAUUAUAGCUUUAUAAAUUUAUAAAACCGACGCAAAUAAAAGCACUCUGCAUCCUGCAAGUGAAUUAAAUGUCAUCUGGACUGCUUUAAAAAAAAAAUAAAAAAAAUGGACUUUUAUAAUUGAAUGCAUGCAUAUAUAAAUGGUUACAUCCAACUUUC
This 221-nucleotide long non-coding RNA is filed under the name Capsella rubella. RNAcentral describes it as "long non-coding RNA (CRUB_LNC001854)". Lineage: Eukaryota; Viridiplantae; Streptophyta; Magnoliopsida; Brassicales; Brassicaceae. The record is from RNAcentral.